This 294-nucleotide ribosomal RNA is filed under the name uncultured bacterium. Its description in RNAcentral is "partial 16S ribosomal RNA". It matches the Rfam family "Bacterial small subunit ribosomal RNA", at positions 775 to 1067 of the family's 1533-position model. The record is from RNAcentral.
GGAUUAGAUACCCUGGUAGUCCACGCCGUAAACGAUGGAUACUAGGUGUUUGGGAAGUUAAUCUCCUGAGUACUGAAGCUAACGCAUUAAGUAUCCCGCCUGGGGAGUACGGUCGCAAGGCUAAAACUCAAAGGAAUUGACGGGGGCCCGCACAAGCGGUGGAGUAUGUGGUUUAAUUCGAAGCAACGCGCAGAACCUUACCUACCCUUAACAUCCCGGGACAACCUCAGAGAUGAGGCUUUCUCUUCGGAGACUCGGUGAUAGGUGCUGCAUGGCUGUCGUCAGCUCGUGCCG